Molecule: long non-coding RNA, 3538 nt
Organism: Zalophus californianus (California sea lion)
Lineage: Eukaryota; Metazoa; Chordata; Mammalia; Carnivora; Otariidae
Exons: 5
Source: RefSeq, a predicted model, not a curated record
GCCUCCAGCCACUGUAAUCGGGUGUCCAUUCCACCAUGCCAACCGAGUGCUUCUCGCUGAGGUCACAAAGAACUCCUUGUUGCUAAAUCCAAUGGACACUCUUCAGUUUCUCCCUCAGCCUCUCAGCAGUAGACGACACUGCUGACCAAUCCCUUCGUGAGUACCUUCCUGCCCUGGAGCUGAAAAGAAAAAUGCUCUGGUGACUAAAUCUGGAAGGGCCGAGGGGCAUAAAAAUUUCAUUUCACAGAUUAUAUGAAUCUCUUUAUAGAGGAUUAUAACUCACGGCUGGAAGAAGCUUUAGGGCCUUGUUAUUCAAAAUGUGGUCCACCCAUCAGCAUCUGCAUCACCUGGAAGUUUGGGAGAAAUGCAGAAUCUAGGGCCCAACUCCAGGCCUACUAAAUCAGAAUGUGUAUUUUAACAACCUCUGCCUCCCUACUUGUGUGCUGUGCCUGCCCCCUGCCCUCAUCACUUCCAUGGGGCUCAGCUCUCCCAUGGCAGCCCUGCAGAGAGCUCAAGUAAGGUUACCUUCAAUCCGCAAAGACAAAUUACAAUAUGAUGCUUCUCUCAUCAGUAGCUUUUGUCUGCUCCUACCUGCAACAUGUGUUAACUCAGGUAUUAAGAUCUCUUUAAGAUACGCUUUUAUGAUACAAACUUAAUUUUCAAAUCAUAUUACCGAAGAGCAGUGAAUGUUCAAAACGUGACAAGUUGGCUUCCAGUUUAAAAUGGAAUGUGCUUCAGUUCAACCUCUCCUCGUUUUAUAUAGCCAGUAUCUCACCCAGAUGAACCCACAUAAAAAUGAUGAAUCCACCAUCAAUUCAAGUGACACUGAAAUGAAGCCUGAGCGGCAGGAGGAAUCUGAGAAGGAAUGUCAUUAAGUGACAAUCUUAUGAAACUUGAUGGACGAUCCCCCUGUCAGUAGCUAUCAAAGCUUUGCUUCCUGACAUGGAAGAUCUUGCUGGAGGUUGAGAGAGGCUUUGCAUACUCUUUGGUUCAAGAACUCAGGACAGUUACUAGCCAGAAAAUUGGGCCGCCAGUUCUCAGCUGUGAAGGUUAAAAAUAAAACGAUAAGCAGUGGGAAGCAAAGGAAGAAGGGGAAGGAAAGAAAGGAGACAAAGGUAGCAAUACCAGCGUUAUUAAAAGCAAAAAUAAUUUGUCAGGAGAACAAGGAUCAUUUUAUAUUGAUGCAAGAUAUAAUCCACAAUGAAGAUGUAAAAUUCAUGAGCCUUCUUAAAAGAAAUAAAGAAAAAAGUUUCUGGAAUAGUAAAGAGAAAAUGACAAAUAAAAUUGUAAGAGGCAUUAACACAUUUUUCUCAAGAUUUCGGAGAGAUUGUAAAGUAAAUAAGAUUGAAUCAGUAGGUAGAUAUUGGACUUUGUAUUUUACAAGCAGAGACUAGACCUUUGUCACACAUCCGUGGAACUUUUGCAGCAGCUGGUCAUAUACUUGGACGCAAAAGGAAUUUUACUAUGUAAUAAAAAUGAGAAAAUGUAGAAAACAUAUUUAUAUAAUCAUAACUAACAUACACUAAGAAAAGUUUAAACAAACAAAACUCUUCAAUCUAUGAAUUAUCUAACAAUUUCCAAAAUAGUCUGAGAAUAUUUAUGUUUUCCAUAAUGAAUUCCAAAGUUCAUUUAUAAUCUUUAGGUGAAUAUUCAUUGCAACUCCCUUUGUAACAAUAAAAUGGUGGAAAUAACCCAAAUGUUUGCCAAUGGGGGACUCAGACACACAUCGAUGGAGAAGUAUGCAGCUGUAAAUAAGGAGCAUCUCUAUAUGCUGCUAUUGAUAUAUACUCUGUAGGAUCUAUUGUUACCCGAAAAAAACAAGAUGAAAGAAAAUAUAUAAUAUUCCACUUUUUAUCCCCCAAAUGUGGCAGGGAUACGAAUAUAUAUUUGCUUAUACUUGAAAUCAUAAAAACACAAGGGAAUAAUUUAAAAAAAAACUGAAAAAAAAUGGUUACCUAUACUGGGAAUAGGGUGAAGGAAACACAGAUUAAAAACUACACUUUGGAUUAUCCCUUGUUUUGGGAAUUUGAUUUUGGAAACAUGUAAAGAUUUUAUAUAAUUAUAAAAGUAAAAUUAAAUUUCAAAAGUAAUUCCUAAAAACAGAAAGUAAAAUAAAGAUUACUGUGUUGAGUUAGUAGCUUAACUAUACAGAGAAAAAUUAUUUCAAGUGGCUUAAAAAAUAGUACUUUAACGUGUAAACACUUCGGGAUAUACCCAAGGGAUAAAAAGUAUUGCAAGUACACCUUAAUAUGAUAUAUAUGAUACAUAUAUAGUUUAUAUACAAUAUAAUAUAUAUUACAUAUAUAUAUUACAUAUAUACACACACACAUACCUACCUACACACACAUUUUUUUUUUCUUUGCCAGAAUGCUGGAAUUUCUGGGAUAUUCUGAUGAUUCAGUAGAACAGACUAUGGGAUAGAGUCCUGGAAAGUAGGACUUAGAAAAUCUAAGAUUUUUAUAUAAUAUAUAUAAGAUUGGGAAUGCCGAAUUCUCCAAAGGCUAUGUAUUACUGAAAUCUGCAAGGUGACUGCCUUUACUGGGACCCAAACCCGAUAAGACUAAAACUUUAUUGGAAAAAUCCUUUAAGUAAAAGACUAGUUUAUUAAGUGGAUGUGUAAGGUGUAUGUGAAGUCUUCAAAGCCUGGAAAUAGAAAGUUGCAAGCAAUUCCUACAGAAUUUUUUUGUCUUAAAAAAUAUAUAGAUAUAAAUGUAUCUCUCUCUUUAGUCCCUAAAACAAUCACUUCCAGGAAUUCACACUAUUGCUGAGAUUUGCUCUCUUGCAAGGUUUUCUAAUGGUAUAAUAGUCCUUUUUUUUUUUUAAAGAUUUUAUUUAUUUGACACAGAGAGAUAGCGAGAGCAGGAACACAAGCAGGGGGAAUGGGAGAGGGAGAAGCAGGCUUCCCGCGGAGCAGGGAGCCCGAUGUGGGGCUCGAUCCCAGGACCCUGGGAUCAUGACCUGAGCCGAAGGCAGACGCUUAACGACUGAGCCACCCAGGCGCCCCAAUAGUCCUUAUUUUUGAACUAUCAGGUAGAAAAAAGUCAUUUAAUUUGACAAUAAGAUAAAAUUUUGAUUCUAAGAAGACUUAUUAGAAGAUUCCGAAAUGUGCACCGGAAUAUUUUUGAAAUGUCCUUCAAAUAGGUAAAAUUUAAACUGGAAAGAGUAAAAAGUUAAACAUUUCCUAUUUAUAAAAUGUCAAACUAUUUUUCCUCAUCUGGUUAAAAAGUUGGUACCAAAGUCACUAAAUAGGUUCAUAUAGUAAACAAUUAAUCUUUUGUUGGAUUCAUUCCUAGUUCUAUUUCAGGAACUCACCUUUGUUUUCCUCAUUGGUUUCCACCUCUAUGUAACUUAUGUUAUCAAGCUAUCUUUCAUAAAAUCUUCUAAGUGGCCUCUUAUUCUUUAUGGACUAUGGUGCGGGAAUAACUAACUCACUAGUUAAAUUUAAAAACUACAACAAACUAGGGGCACCCGAGGGGCUCAGUCGGUUAAGCCUUUGCUUUGGGCUCAGUCAUGAUCCUGGAGUCCUGGGAUGAGUCCC